Molecule: ribosomal RNA, 400 nt
Filed under: grassland soil clone sl2_705
Lineage: Bacteria
Description: bacterial SSU rRNA
Rfam family: Bacterial small subunit ribosomal RNA
Source: RNAcentral
AACACAUGCAAGUCGAACGCUCGUAGCAAUGCGAGAGUGGCAGACGGGUGAGUAACGCGUGGGAACCUUCCCAGUGGUACGGAAUAGCUCAGGGAAACUUGAGGUAAUACCGUAUACGCCCCUUGGGGGAAAGAUUUAUCGCCAUUGGAUGGGCCCGCGUAGGAUUAGCUAGUUGGUGAGGUAACGGCUCACCAAGGCGACGAUCCUUAGCUGGUCUGAGAGGAUGAUCAGCCACACUGGGACUGAGACACGGCCCAGACUCCUACGGGAGGCAGCAGUGGGGAAUAUUGGACAAUGGGCGCAAGCCUGAUCCAGCCAUGCCGCGUGAGUGACGAAGGCCUUAGGGUUGUAAAGCUCUUUUGGCGGGGAAGAUAAUGACGGUACCCGCAGAAUAAGCUCC